UGGCUUUGGCAGGACAUUACACCAAAAUUGGAAUAACAAAGAUUAGCAUGGUCCCUGCGGGAAGGUGACAUGCAAAUUUGUGAAGCAUUCCAUAUUUUU
Molecule: small nuclear RNA, 99 nt
Filed under: Sorex araneus (European shrew)
Lineage: Eukaryota; Metazoa; Chordata; Mammalia; Eulipotyphla; Soricidae
Source: RNAcentral